GGGAGAUCAUCCUUUGUCAAGUAUAAGAAUUUAUUAGAGCUAAGCUGUUCUACGCAUAUGACAGACAGUGGACAACACAAAACAAUUAAGACAAAGCAAUCUACCAGUAUAACAAAGCUAACACAACUGAAAAUAGAAUACAUGUAUCAGGGGUCUACAGUAAAGAGUCUUAGGUGAAGAAUGGAAGCUCUCCACAAGGCCUUUCUGCUGCAGUUUUACUGAAUUAUGGGUGUAUCCUGAGACAGAACAUGGAAUAUCCCAAAAGAGAAAACUGGAAACAGUUGUGUCCAAAGGAAAAGACAAUACGAAGUGACAACUUGCGCUGGCCUGCAGGAACUUGAUCACGUUAACUCCCUAAUGGAGAAGCUAAUGUAUGUCACCGUUGUAGCCCUGUGCAACGAAUACAGAUUGGAGAGAACAGAGCUGCCUCUAGUUGAAUAUGUACUGAUCAAUGUGCAAAUGAUUACUGCAGCUUUCAUUUUCAACUAUGACUGGAACAAAUCUAACUCUUUAAAGGUAUUUUAGAGAUCUUUUUGCUACAUGUAAUUUAUAUCUAUUUUGGGCUGUGUCUGACACAGUUCUGAAGAUUCUGCUGGAGCGUAUCCCAAGCAGUCAUUGAGGAAGAGCUUCUCCCAGGACCAUGUAAGUUAUAGUAGCCAAUUCUGAGUAUUUUUCUUAGACUUUCUGGUGGGUUUUUAGGUUCAACUGCCCUGAAGUAUGUACCUAUAAAAUUGCAAAAGCUAAGCACCUGAAAAUAUUUAAAUUUAAUAGGGAAACAUAGGGAGAAUAGUUUCACCCUGUGUUUCUUUUCUCAGAGCAGGUGAGGUUACCACAGAAUCUUGAACAGAGUUUGAUUUGGCAGAAAGAAUAGCAUUUCAUCCAUUCCUGUCUAACAGUCAUAAACGCGAUGCAAAAAUUGAUGACUGGUUUCUGUUUUGCAUGGCUAGGCCAGCUACUUCCACAAAUUCCCUAAAGCCAAUGAAUCCAUUGAACCUUGGGGUGAAACUAUGAG
Molecule: long non-coding RNA, 1012 nt
Filed under: Struthio camelus australis
Lineage: Eukaryota; Metazoa; Chordata; Aves; Struthioniformes; Struthionidae
Description: lncRNA (ENSSCUG00000014799.1)
Source: RNAcentral